UGGACAGAUCUGUGGGUUGCUGUGACCAGCACAUACUACAACGUUCUCCACCACCUUGAAGAAGAGGGAUUCCUCAGCAUUGCGAGUGUUCAACACCUCUUCUGCUGCCACUAUGUAUUUUUACCACGUAUACAGGAUGACCUGGACACUUUCUGCAGUGGUUGGGAUAAUCAUCCUUUAAGAGCAGAAAGUAACAUGACUCCUAACCAGCUGUGGGUACUGGGUCGUGCACGUCAUCCCAUUCCCGAACCAGAGAACAUGGAGGGCAUGGAGAUUCCACAUAUUGAGUGGGAGGAGAGUGGACUUCCUCAUCAGGACCAUUCAGAUGUCGUUGUGCCAAACAUCAACUGCCCACUGACAGAUGAACAAAUGGCAGCUUUAAGAAGUGCAGUUGACCCAAGAGCUGAAUCAGACUCCUUUGGCUCUGAUGUUUACAUUGCAGCUGUUCAGUUUUGUGAACAUUUUUUUCCACAAUAAAGGAAAAACAAAUCUGUUAA
This is a non-coding RNA of Oryzias latipes (Japanese medaka), 497 nucleotides long. NCBI's taxonomy places the organism in Eukaryota, Metazoa, Chordata, Actinopteri, Beloniformes, Adrianichthyidae. The record is from RefSeq and is a predicted model, not a curated record.